GCCUCGCCGCGGGAGCCGCGCGGAAAGUUACUGCCUGCUAACGUGGCAGGAACGAUGGAAAGCCUGUGGCUGCCAAAUGCUGAAAUCCUGGGCCCAAGCAACAGAUCUGAAAAAGAAAGAUAACAAUGACCUGUGUGCUUGAGAAUCCAGAGGGACUGUCAGUGACAGAGCUCACUGGGUUCCCAGGAGGACUAAGAACAUGGUCCAACCAAUCUUGCCCUGACAACGUAGGAGUGGGCAGAGGAAGGCAUGAAGAAUGGCUGCCCUUCUACAUCUGAAGGUCAGAACAAGAGAUCCAGGAAUGUGUCUCUGUCAUUUGAAAGCUACAGCCUUUGAACCCCCCAAAGGGAAAAACAAGAAACAAGGAGCAAGUGUGUUGGCCCCAUGCUGAGUAUGAUGAAGCGUGCCACACAGGACCUUGGUUUUCCACCUCCCUUCCCACAUGCAAACUUUCUGAUCCUGAGACAUCGGCAUGGGUUGAAGGGACUCUGUGGCACCUGAACAGCCAGUUAGAAGGUGGGCAACCCAGGUGACUUGGCAAGACCUGCUUGCAAACACCGGUUAUGAGCUCAUUCGCAAGAGAAGCCGACUGGGGGCAAGUUAACUUGUGUCACUCUUUGGAUUUAAUGGAAGGUUGUUAUGUUUUAUAUGAACCUCAUCAUCCAAAUAUGCACCCUAUUGUAAAUGGAACAGAUGGUCAACAGGCACCUGCUGCAUAGCACAGGGAAAAUUGCCCAAUAUUCUGUGAUAACCUGUAUGGGAAAAAAA
RNAcentral lists this long non-coding RNA (768 nucleotides) under Sus scrofa (pig). Its description in RNAcentral is "lncRNA (ENSSSCG00005021725.1)". The record is from RNAcentral. Lineage: Eukaryota; Metazoa; Chordata; Mammalia; Artiodactyla; Suidae.